CCUACGGGUGGCAGCAGUGAGGAAUAUUGGUCAAUGGACGAGAGUCUGAACCAGCCAAGUAGCGUGAAGGAUGACUGCCCUAUGGGUUGUAAACUUCUUUUAUAUGGGAAUAAAAUGUUCCACGUGUGGGAUUUUGUAUGUACCAUAUGAAUAAGGAUCGGCUAACUCCGUGCCAGCAGCCGCGGUAAUACGGAGGAUCCGAGCGUUAUCCGGAUUUAUUGGGUUUAAAGGGAGCGUAGGUGGAUUGUUAAGUCAGUUGUGAAAGUUUGCGGCUCAACCGUAAAAUUGCAGUUGAAACUGGCAGUCUUGAGUACAGUAGAGGUGGGCGGAAAUCGUGGUGGAGCGGUGAAAUGCUUAGAUAUCACGAAGAACUCCGAUUGCGAAGGCAGUUCACUGGACUGCAACUGACACUGAGGCUCGAAAGUGUGGGUAUCAAACAGGAAUAGAUACCCGGGUAGUC
RNAcentral lists this ribosomal RNA (460 nucleotides) under uncultured bacterium. Its description in RNAcentral is "partial 16S ribosomal RNA". It matches the Rfam family "Bacterial small subunit ribosomal RNA", at positions 338 to 795 of the family's 1533-position model. The record is from RNAcentral.